Molecule: long non-coding RNA, 1739 nt
Organism: Sycon ciliatum
Lineage: Eukaryota; Metazoa; Porifera; Calcarea; Leucosolenida; Sycettidae
Exons: 2
Source: RefSeq, a predicted model, not a curated record
AAGUGCCAUGUAUAUGUCGUACAUGCACUCUUUCAUCAUGUCUGAGUGUGGCCUGAUAGCCCACUGACUAUUGAUGAGCUGGAGGAGCAAACUAGUCCAGGAGAUAACACAUGUAGGCAGUGGUUCUAUAUCACCUGUGUUGAGCAUUAUUUGAUGCACCCUCAAAGGUCGAUAAGCAUGUUGUGCAACGUAAGAGUCACGGGUUUGGGAACAAAAAAGCUCUGUCUGUCUAAGCAAGACUAGAGAUGGAAUGAGUACAUCAUGCAUGAGUACUGUAGGAGUUUGGCGUUCGGUGUUGUACCAUUCGUUUUCGCAAAGCUUCCCCUUCUGUACUUAUCUUUGAUAUUUCUAAACCACGCAAGUUGGGUGGUGUGCUGCUUUGCUGCUUGGAAUUGUAGUUAGUCCGCAUUGUCAAUUAUUUUACUGGUCUCGUCAUCGUCCAGUAGCAAUCGACAUUCGUUGUUCUCAUGGGACUUUAGCUUGUACUCAUUUUCGUUAUGUUUACCUUCCCAACUUUCAUCUUUCCUUAAAGGGGCACUCCGGCUUCAUUUUCGACGCCGAGUUUUCGAUGCCAAGACGAAGGUAGGUGAAAGAGAAGACCCCUCGAACAAGAACGAGUCUCCAGAAGCGAUCGAGUCGAGCAGGAAGACGACUUUUUGAAUUUCGCCGAGCGAGCGCUGAUGACGUAAUGAGGGAUUAGCUUGCCAGUGGAAAUGCACCUGCGCACAUACAUUUUACACACUUUUUGGCCAAUUUUCAAUCGAAGAGGAGGUUGUUUGCUAUGUUCUCCCAACGUCGUGAGCGAUCCCGUCUUCUAUACCCUUCCAGGUACCCUGAAGGUCCUCCAGACGAGAAUUUAUCUCCAGCAAAGCGUUGUUCAUCCGCUAAAUUCGUCUCGAGACAUAUUCAGUGCUGAUGAAUGUAGAAUGUUGAAUCUGUGAUAAUUGUCGACGAUGGAGAGAGAGAGGCUGAUAGCCGCUGUCGCAGGGAGAGUGAAGCUGCUGGAAGUAACAAUGGGGAGCCCGUUUGUAUCAUCUGAACAACCAGACUUCAAAGCAGCUUGACCAAAUCGGAGGGUGCCUCGUUGCUUAUCGUGAAUAUUACACCGACAUGAAUUACUACAAGUAUACUGGUCUGUCCAAUAUGCAUUGACCGUAUUGGGUAUGGUAUCUGCUCUGAGAAGGGAAUCGCUGGAGCCACAGUCCAACUAUACAGGCUUUCAAGAAACAGAGAGGAGCCAUCUUUGCAAGCUGAUACCUGAUGUGUACCGACAGAAUUCUCACGAGAUACCUUUCGGACUACGUCUGGUGUAUACUUCAUAGUACUCCUUCGACUACGGUCUAGAAUCAAGUCAACUGAAACAAGUUCAAACAACUCUGGCUUCAAACGAGCCGUCGAUUAGACAAACAAAACAUUCUCUCAUAUACUAGAGCACUCUGACAACUCAUGACCUAUUCCUAACGAUUGCCACCGCUUAUAAAUAUGUAGAGUGCUGAUUGGAAUGUGCUCACAAUCUCAACAGUGCUAUAAUUAUUUGAACAAUGUGUUAUAAUAUUCCACUUUUCCUUCCAUAAAUGUUGUAUCCACAUAUAAUCCACAGUGCUGCAAAGUUUCAGAGUUCUCAGGGUAUCAAACAAAAUUAUUUCAAAUACAGUUAAAUUGUUCGUGGACAAUAGCGGAACUUGUAGUCCCCUGGUCCUUUUCUUUGCUAACGUUAUAAAUUAAUCCUUUGCUCUCUA